GAUGAACGCUGGCGGCGUGCCUAACACAUGCAAGUCGAACGGAAAGACCAUGCUUUUGUGGGUUGCUCGAUUGGCGAGCGCGUGAGUAACACGUGAGUAACAUGCCCUUGACUGUGGGGUAACAUCAGGAGAAUCGGGCUAAUACCGGGUAGGAUCUACUGCUGCGUGGUGUGGGUUGGAAAGAUUCGGCGUUGGGGGCUGGACUCGCGGCUUAUGCGCUUGUUUGUCGGGUAGGGGCUUUCCAAGGCUUUGACGGGUAGCCGGCCUGAGAGCGUGAACGGCCACAUUGCGACUGCGAUACGGACCAGAAGCGUACGGGAGGCAGCAGUGGAGAACAUGGUACAGUGGGCGGAAGCCUGAUGCAGCAACGCCGCGUGCGGGAUGCCGGCCUACGGGUGGUAAACCGCUUUCGCAUGUGACGAAGCGUGAGUGACGGUAAUGGGUCAAGAAGCACCGGCUAACUACGUG
Molecule: ribosomal RNA, 468 nt
Filed under: uncultured bacterium
Lineage: Bacteria
Description: partial 16S ribosomal RNA
Rfam family: Bacterial small subunit ribosomal RNA
Source: RNAcentral